RNAcentral lists this non-coding RNA (27 nucleotides) under Rattus norvegicus (Norway rat). Lineage: Eukaryota; Metazoa; Chordata; Mammalia; Rodentia; Muridae. The record is from RNAcentral.
UGAGGGAGUUUGACUAGAGCCAAUGAA